CAGCCUGAGGGGAGACACAGCCCUGUCCUCAGGGAGCCCCAGUCUUCAGGGAGACACAGCCCCAUCCUCAGGGAGCCCCAAUCUGCAGGGAGACACAGCCCCACCCUCAGGGACCCCAGCCUAAGGAGAGACACAGCCCUGUCCUUGGGGAACCCCAGUCUGAGGGGAGACACAGCCCCAUCCUCAGGGAGCCCCAGCCUGAGUGGAGGACACAACACUGACUAAGGGAGCUGCAGUCUCAGGGAGUAGGUAAAUAAAUGUACCACAGAUAUUAGCCUACUUCUUCACUUUGAGAGCAGAGGUGUAGGAGUGUGUGUGUGGGGGGCAGGGCUGCAGAAUCUGUAUUACAGAGGGGUGAGUGAGAACAUGUGGGAAAAGCUGGCAUCCCAGAGCUUUCCGAGUUCCCAGGAGCAUUCUACCCCUUCUCUGUGCUCAGCCCAACUCUGACCAAUAGGAGGGUCACUGGAAUCCAGUGUCCCCUUAAGGCAAGGGAGAGUCAGAGCUGAGAAGCAGGCGGCUGGGAGAGGCCCGCUGAGUGGCUCUCUGGAGUCUGUCAGGUGAGUGACCACAGGAGAUAAGCUGUCUAUGAUAAGGGGCAUUCAGGCCACCUCAUUUUAGCUUGUCCGUGACAAGCUGAGCCUCGCACGGCCCAGAGCAUGUGUGUGGUGAGGAGGUGGGGGAGUGGGCACAAUUCAGGAGCCGUCUCCAGAGGUCAGCACUAAUGGGACAAGAAGUCUUAAGAUGCAGCCCCCAGCUCCUGUUUGUCCCUAUCCAGGUGGAGACAUUUCCAUUCCCAGACAUAGGAGCUUCUCCCAGGGAACCUCAUGAAGACAGAGAUGGUGGGGACUGAAUGGGGGGGUGUCUCGAUUCCCAGCAGCUUCUUGGCUCCUCUGCUGUCACAUAAUCAGUGAGUGAUGACUGGCAGCAGGCACUUCCCUGGGUGCUCUUGACAUUCCCGUGACCUACAGGCAAGGGAGAGGGUUCCAGAGAAGGAGGAGUGGGAGCCUCAGGGUGGCAGAGUGGCUGUGGCCUUUCCACAAAAGGAGGAUCUCUUCCGGGAACCAGAUGAUGAGCUUAGCUUGUCUGCAGGCAUUAAAACACCAACACUGGGAACAUCCUCAUGGUAUGUAAAGGGAAACUGAGGCACAAGGCAGGGAAGGGACUUGCCUAGGGUCACACAACAUUGAGAGUUCCCAAUUCUCUUCUCUACUCCAGGCUGUACGAGAUCUGCAAAAGUCAAACUUCCACUCUGCCUCCAUACUUGUAUGUGUGCGUGGGUGCUUGUGGGGCAUGCAGAUUAGCUCUCACGAAAGCCACGUUCAGCCUUUA
This 1329-nucleotide long non-coding RNA is filed under the name Homo sapiens (human). RNAcentral's name for it is "HSALNT0106484". The record is from RNAcentral. Lineage: Eukaryota; Metazoa; Chordata; Mammalia; Primates; Hominidae.